ACAUAGAACAACAACAGGGAUGGCAGCUCACUACGGCAUGAUGGACGCUGAGGCACGAAAGCGUGCAGAUCAAGCUGGAUUAGAUGUCCCUGGUAGUCCACGCCCUAAACGAUGGAUACUCGACAUAUGCGAUACACUGUACGCAUCUGAGGCAAAGCGUUAACUAUCCCGCGAGUGAAGUAGCACGGCAAGGUUGAAACUCAAAGGAAGUGGCGGGGGUCAGCACAAGCGGUGGAGCAUGUGGUUUAAUUCGAUGAUACGCGAGGAACCUUAGGCUGGGCUAGAAUGCGAAUACGGCGUGGGUGAAAGCUCAUUUUGUCGCAAGACUCAGAUCGUAAGGUGGUUGUUGUCAGUCGUCAGCUCGAGAUGUGAGGUGAAGGGCUAAGUCGAGCGCCGAGCGCAACCCCUAUCACUAGCUGCCAUCAGGUAAUUCUCGGGACUCUACCGAAACUACCGUGGUAGGGGGUGAGGAAGGAGGGGAUUAUUUCAAGUCAUCAUGUCCUGGAUGCCCAGCACUACACACUUGCUGCAACGGAGAGUACAAAGGGCACAUACCGGACAACAGGAUACUAAUCCCAUAAAACUUGUGACAGUUGUAAUCGGGUUGUCCCCCUGGACUCCAAGAAGCUGGUAUUGGUAGUAAUCGUAUAUCACCAAUGAUACGGUGAAGGGGUUCCCGCACCUUGCCCACCCCACCCGUCAAGCCAUGGACGCCGGGAGUACAGAAACCAGGUAACCGCAAGGAGCCGCCUAGGGU
This 757-nucleotide ribosomal RNA is filed under the name uncultured bacterium. RNAcentral's name for it is "bacterial SSU rRNA". It matches the Rfam family "Bacterial small subunit ribosomal RNA", at positions 699 to 1463 of the family's 1533-position model. The record is from RNAcentral.